GACGAACGCUGGCGGCGUGCUUAACACAUGCAAGUCGAACGGAAAGGCCUGCUUGCAGGGUACUCGAGUGGCGAACGGGUGAGUAACACGUGGGUGAUCUGCCCUGCACUUCGGGAUAAGCUUGGGAAACUGGGUCUAAUACCGGAUAGGAACCAUCUUUAGUGUGGUGGUUGGAAAGUUUUUUCGGUGUAGGAUGAGCUCGCGGCCUAUCAGCUUGUUGGUGGGGUAAUGGCCUACCAAGGCGGCGACGGGUAGCCGGCCUGAGAGGGUGUACGGCCACAUUGGGACUGAGAUACGGCCCAGACUCCUACGGGAGGCAGCAGUGGGGAAUAUUGCACAAUGGGCGCAAGCCUGAUGCAGCGACGCCGCGUGGGGGAUGAAGGCCUUCGGGUUGUAAACUCCUUUCGCUAGGGACGAAGCUUUGUUGUGACGGUACCUAGAUAAGAAGCACCGGCUAACUACGUG
Molecule: ribosomal RNA, 465 nt
Filed under: uncultured bacterium
Lineage: Bacteria
Description: partial 16S ribosomal RNA
Rfam family: Bacterial small subunit ribosomal RNA
Source: RNAcentral